GCCGGUGUGAUGGAAUGGUAGACGUAGCGGAUUCAAAAUCCGCCGGGGGCAACUCCAUGUGGGUUCGAGUCCCACCACCGGCACCA
Molecule: transfer RNA, 86 nt
Filed under: Oscillospiraceae bacterium
Lineage: Bacteria; Bacillati; Bacillota; Clostridia; Eubacteriales; Oscillospiraceae
Description: tRNA-Leu
Rfam family: tRNA
About the family: Transfer RNA (tRNA) molecules are approximately 80 nucleotides in length.
Source: RNAcentral